Balaenoptera ricei (Rice's whale) is the source of this 1540-nucleotide long non-coding RNA. RefSeq lists it as uncharacterized. Lineage: Eukaryota; Metazoa; Chordata; Mammalia; Artiodactyla; Balaenopteridae. The transcript is spliced from 4 exons. The record is from RefSeq and is a predicted model, not a curated record.
ACUCGAAUGCACCGUCCACGCGGCGGAGCUUCUGCGGGCUGGGUCACGGAGUAUUGCUUCCCCUGCCGUCAGUCAUCCUGGAGUUUCGGUUCUCGAAAAUGCAGCUGAAUCAAGAAAAAUGAGAGCCAUUACUUCGUCUCCUGACUUCCAGGAUUCUGGCCUAACCCGGGACACACACCAGGCUCGGACAUGUGGCUUUGACUCCCGGCGUCCGCAGCCCUGGAUUUACGGGGAGAGUAAGGAGUCUGUCCCAGGGCUCUUUUAGCCAGUUUCCCCCACAGACGGCGGUUUGGAGCUGGUGGGCCAGGCUUUCUGGGCCCCUCUGUGGGCUUCCGAGAGGGAACGGUGGUCUCCAACAUCCUGGGGACGCGCGGGCUCUGCGUCUGGACGCCAGGGCCCGUGUGGCCGACCCUCUGGAGGCUGACGCUUGGCUGGUGGAAGGAGCAUCACCCCUGUAUGUCCUCACUAAAUCGCUGUCCUGAGCCUGAAGCAAGCAGCAAGGAGAAGAGCCCCCUGAGGGAGGUCAGGAAGAGUCACCCACACUGUGAGCAGACGGUCAGGGGAGGAAAGGAAACUCACAUCAUAGACAGCCCAUGAGUUUGAUCAUCUGACAAGUUUAGGACAUGUCUGACCCUCUCACCGACCGGUCCCACACUGUGAGGACAGCGCCGCCUCUGCGGAAGUGAAGAGCAGCUUGGCCGAUCGAUGUUCUGCAGGCCCUUCCCCCUCUCAGCUGCAUUGACCCGGGAAACACAGAAUUCCUUCUGCAUUGACAGACCAGCUGGAGCAACUGAGAUGGGCUUGGGAUCCAGGAUGUGUGAUUCCAGACAUGGCCACAAGGUGGAGACACAUGGUUGUCAAUCCCUAUGUCUUGUUCCAAGGCUGAGCCUUAUUGAGGGUUUACGCAACAGUACAUUUGCUGGGGAGUAAGGUUUAAAAACAAACAUAGUUUUGUAGUCAUUUUCUUAACCCUGAGUAAGGCAGCCCUGGGUCGUUUUUCUAAAGGACUCGGGCUAAUUUAGAAAUACCUUCCAAUUCCUUAGACCAGUUGUGAAUACAUGAUUAACCUACAUUAUUUAAUACUGCAAAUAUUUAUCAUGCUGGCGCCCUGUGCAAACACAGUGCUGUAUUUUGAGAGGGAAUCUGGACUGUAAAACAAAGGCAAGACACAACUGGGGGAGGGACUUCCCUGGUGGUCCUGGUGGUCGCACUCCCAAUGCAGGGGGCCUGGGUUCCUUCCCUGGUUGGGGAACUAGAUCCCACAUGCUACAACGAAGAGCCUGCGUGCUGCAACUAAGACCUGGCGCAGCCAAUAAAAAAAAAAAAUGACACAACUCAGGGAGGAAUUUAUCAGACACCACUGGAAGACAUACCAGGAGGGCAUCUAAGUGCAGCAGGCUUAGUCCAAUAGAGAUAGUAUAAGCAAUCUAUUCAUAGAUGAUUCAGAAAAAAAUUAUGUUUAGAUAUAAACAGAAUAACAAAACAAAUGUGGCAAAAUGUUUUUUAAAAAAAGGUGAAUCUGGAUAAAGGAUAUAUGAGA